This 329-nucleotide ribosomal RNA is filed under the name uncultured eukaryote. RNAcentral's name for it is "partial 18S ribosomal RNA". It matches the Rfam family "Eukaryotic small subunit ribosomal RNA", at positions 1470 to 1796 of the family's 1831-position model. The record is from RNAcentral.
CCCUUAGAUGUUCUGGGCCGCACGCGCGCUACACUGACGGAGGCAGCGAGCGUGUCCUUCGCCGGCAGGUGCGGGCAAUCUUGCGAGUCUCCGUCGUGCUGGGGAUAGAUGGUUGCAAUUGUCGAUCUUGAACGAGGAAUUCCUAGUAAGCGCGAGUCAUCAGCUCGCGCUGAUUACGUCCCUGCCCUUUGUACACACCGCCCGUCGCUACUACCGAUUGAAUGGUUUAGUGAGAUCUCUGGAUUGACGCUGGCUAGGGGGCGACCCUUGGCCAGACUGUUGAGAAACUGCUCAAACUUGAUCAUUUAGAGGAAGUAAAAGUCGUAACA